This 253-nucleotide unclassified non-coding RNA is filed under the name uncultured Verrucomicrobiota bacterium. RNAcentral describes it as "uncultured Verrucomicrobia bacterium contains 16S-23S intergenic spacer region". It matches the Rfam family "Bacterial small subunit ribosomal RNA", at positions 524 to 776 of the family's 1533-position model. Lineage: Bacteria; Pseudomonadati; Verrucomicrobiota. The record is from RNAcentral.
UACGUAGGUCCCAAGCGUUGUUCGGAUUCACUGGGCGUAAAGGGUGCGUAGGUGGCUGGGAAAGUCUGAUGUGAAAGCUCCGGGCUCAACUCGGAAAUGGCAUUGGAAACUGACCGGCUAGAGGGUCGGAGGGGAGACUGGAAUUCUCGGUGUAGCAGUGAAAUGCGUAGAUAUCGAGAGGAACACCGGUGGCGAAGGCGAGUCUCUGGACGACCCCUGACACUGAGGCACGAAAGCUAGGGGAGCAAACAGG